This is a long non-coding RNA of Frankliniella occidentalis (western flower thrips), 457 nucleotides long. RefSeq lists it as uncharacterized. NCBI's taxonomy places the organism in Eukaryota, Metazoa, Arthropoda, Insecta, Thysanoptera, Thripidae. The transcript is spliced from 3 exons. The record is from RefSeq and is a predicted model, not a curated record.
CGCGCCUUUAUGGAAACGUAAACAAACAGUAAUCGGUGUCGCGAUCGGCGUCUUCUGCUCAAUACCGAUAAUACCUACUCAUUUGAUUGGCCAUGGGAUUUUAAUCAGAAUUUUAGGGUGGACAUCGCCGCUUUUCGAUAUUAAUCGCAAGGAACUCGGCCUUGAAAUUUUCUUGACAUGAGCAAGAGAAGUCUAUGGAGUCAUUUUACCGAAUAGAAUAGGAAGACCGGCCUGGAGUUGCACCUGUCCUGGACAUCAGCCGUGCGGCCCAUGGAAUCAUCAGAUAUAAGUUGAGUUGGCGUCACAAUGAUUACAGCUGGUCCAGUUAUUUUAUUUUAUUGUAAAGUCCCUUUGAGUAAGCUUGAAUGAUUUUCUCUCUGGCACCAAACUUUGUUGGCCAUCUAAAGUCACUUUUCACGACAGGGGUGUUUUCAGAACCUAGCCAUAAUUUACCCCA